This 68-nucleotide transfer RNA is filed under the name Ectatops sp. RNAcentral's name for it is "tRNA-Asn". Lineage: Eukaryota; Metazoa; Arthropoda; Insecta; Hemiptera; Pyrrhocoridae. The record is from RNAcentral.
UUAACUAAAGCCAAAAACAGAGGCAUCUUAAUGUUAAUAAGAAAAAUGAUAUAUAAUAUCUAGUUAAA